Molecule: non-coding RNA, 57 nt
Organism: Bos taurus (domestic cattle)
Lineage: Eukaryota; Metazoa; Chordata; Mammalia; Artiodactyla; Bovidae
Source: Rfam
UAGCUCAGUCGGUAAAGAAUCUGCCUGCAAUGCAGGAGACCCGGGUUUGAUUCCUGG